UCGCUUUUAAGCUUAAAUCCACAUAACAGACACUUCGUGCUCGACUUUGUGCGUAUUUUCGCUAUUAUGUGUUCUUUUAAUUAAAAUGAUUCUUUUUAAAUCUCUAAUAUUUGCUUCGGCAUUUUUGGAGAUUUGUUACUUUGAGUAAAUUAGAGUGUUCAAAGCAAACAGAUAUAGCAUUUGUGCGUUUGAAUACUACAGCAUGGAAUAACAAAAUUGAACAAGUCAAAAUUUUUGUUCUUUUUUCUUAUUUUGGCUUAGUUACGAUUAAUAGGAGUAGCUUGGGGGCAUUUGUAUUCAGAUGUCAGAGGUGAAAUUCUUAGAUUUUCUGGAGACAAACAACUGCGAAAGCAUUUGCCUAAAAUACUUCCAUUAAUCAAGAACGAAAGUUAAGGGAGUGAAGACGAUCAGAUACCGUCGUAAUCUUAACCAUAAACUAUGCCGACUAGGCUUUAGAUUACAGCUCUUUUUUUUUGUUAUGUCCUUUCCCUUCGGGGUUUAGGACUCA
RNAcentral lists this ribosomal RNA (508 nucleotides) under Plasmodium coatneyi. RNAcentral's name for it is "partial 18S ribosomal RNA". It matches the Rfam family "Eukaryotic small subunit ribosomal RNA", at positions 628 to 1089 of the family's 1831-position model. The record is from RNAcentral. Lineage: Eukaryota; Apicomplexa; Aconoidasida; Haemosporida; Plasmodiidae.